This is a long non-coding RNA of Rana temporaria (common frog), 956 nucleotides long. RefSeq lists it as uncharacterized. The record is from RefSeq and is a predicted model, not a curated record. The transcript is spliced from 4 exons. NCBI's taxonomy places the organism in Eukaryota, Metazoa, Chordata, Amphibia, Anura, Ranidae.
UCCUAUAAAAAGGCAGAUUUAUAGAGGCUGUGUUUUCAUAGAAGGGAUUUGUUAAGUACUAGAAACGCAGCCUGCCUGCUGCAGGGUGAAAAAAAAAAUAGGCGAUUGAAAUGUGUCUAUUUGUGUUUGCGUUGUGUUAGUCUAAGAGAGCGGUUUUGACAAAUUCCAAACUUUAAUUUCUGAUUCUGAAAACACAUUUCCUUGAGUGUGUGGAGGCUGACAGACAAGGGAGAGCAAUGGGAACGUUCAUUUAAAUGAUUAUCACCAGUCUUACAAAUAUGAUAAAUAUACUUGGGUGACAGUGUAUCAGAAGACAUUAAACAUAGAAGAGUAUCCAAGAAAGCUAUCACGGCUGACCUCCUUCAUACUGUAAUAUUGGCUCGUCAUCAGAAAACAUUUAAUGAGUUGGACUGAUUACAGAACAUAAGCACAGAUAUGUCAGAACUGAACAGAAGAUGGCGCUCUAGCUUCUACGAUGGGAGUAAAUACACAUAUUGCUUCAUACAUAAAUCUUCCUCUAUGAUUACAAGACUGUAUACCACAUAUAAAACCUUAAUUGGUAAAAUAAAAUAAAAAAAGAAAUGUAAACUAUAGAUUUCAUUUAAAACAAUACUGGUAUUUAAACAAUACUGGUUACUGUCUAUAUUUUAUAAGAAUACAAAAUGUUUAUAUGUGUUAAAAAUGUAGAUCUAUUUUAAAAAUAUUUGUUUCAAUUUUUUUUUUGAAUUUAUUUUAUUUAAGAUUUUAUUAUCAGGAGUUACUUGGGUUUCAGGGCAUGUUAGGAUGUUAGAACAAUGCUAAAAGCCAGCUAUUAGUCUAAAGUUUAGGACUGCCUUCCAGAAAUGUAGUCUGAUGAUGAUUGGCAAUAAUAGUAGUAAUAAUAAUAAGAAAAAGAAAAAGAAGAAUUAAAACUGUGAAUCAAUUUGUUUUAAUCUGAUAUUUUAUUAUAAGGAUGU